UGGUAGAUACCCUGGUGGUGGUGGUGGCGGCCGUGGUGGUGGUGGAUACACUGGUGGUGGUAGUGGCGGAGGCCGUGGUGGUGGUAGAUACUCCGGCGGUGGUGGACGUGGCGGUGGCGGUGGCCGCGGUGGACGUGGUGGUGGUGGCCGGAAGUGUUGUUCCUAGAUACAAAGGUGAAUGAAUAUAGUAAUAUAUAGUUAUCACCUUGUACUAAUUAGUGGCAAGAUGUAUUAGUAGUAAUAUUCUUGCUGCUUUUUGGAGCUUAUUGUAAGAAAAAAUUAUUAUCAUGAAAUAAAAGCCAUCAUGUAAUGUUUG
This 316-nucleotide unclassified non-coding RNA is filed under the name Hevea brasiliensis (rubber tree). The record is from RNAcentral. Lineage: Eukaryota; Viridiplantae; Streptophyta; Magnoliopsida; Malpighiales; Euphorbiaceae.